GAUGAACGCUAGCUACAGGCUUAACACAUGCAAGUCGAGGGGCAGCAUGACCUAGCAAUAGGUUGAUGGCGACCGGCGCACGGGUGAGUAACACGUAUCCAACCUGCCGAUUAUUCCGGGAUAGCCUUUCGAAAGAAAGAUUAAUACUGGAUAGCAUAACGAGAAGGCAUCUUCUUGUUAUUAAAGAAUUUCGAUAAUCGAUGGGGAUGCGUUCCAUUAGUUUGUUGGCGGGGUAACGGCCCACCAAGACAUCGAUGGAUAGGGGUUCUGAGAGGAAGGUCCCCCACAUUGGAACUGAGACACGGUCCAAACUCCUACGGGAGGCAGCAGUGAGGAAUAUUGGUCAAUGGACGAGAGUCUGAACCAGCCAAGUAGCGUGAAGGAUGACUGCCCUAUGGGUUGUAAACCUCUUUUAUAUGGGAAUAAAGUGGGCCACGUGUGGCUUUUUGUAUGUACCAUACGAAUAAGGAUCGGCUAACUCCGUG
This 485-nucleotide ribosomal RNA is filed under the name uncultured bacterium. Its description in RNAcentral is "partial 16S ribosomal RNA". It matches the Rfam family "Bacterial small subunit ribosomal RNA", at positions 28 to 507 of the family's 1533-position model. The record is from RNAcentral.